This 84-nucleotide transfer RNA is filed under the name Metzgeria furcata. RNAcentral describes it as "partial tRNA-Leu". Lineage: Eukaryota; Viridiplantae; Streptophyta; Jungermanniopsida; Metzgeriales; Metzgeriaceae. The record is from RNAcentral.
UCGAAAUCGUCGAAAUCGGUAGACGCUACGGACUUAAAUCCGUUGGCUUAAUAGACCGUGAGGGUUCAAGUCCCUCUACCCCUA